Mustela erminea (ermine) is the source of this 1583-nucleotide long non-coding RNA. RefSeq lists it as uncharacterized. The transcript has 5 exons. Lineage: Eukaryota; Metazoa; Chordata; Mammalia; Carnivora; Mustelidae. The record is from RefSeq and is a predicted model, not a curated record.
UCCCUUGCCUUAUAUAGGGCAUAACAGCCAAUCACAGAGGUGUUCACGUGAACAGGAGGUAUCUGGGGCUCAUAGGCAGUGGUGGCAUACGGUGUUCAUGUGACAAGCACGAGGUCACGUGUGGCCAGGGCGGAUGUUUUUUAGGCUGUCCCUGCUGCUCGGGCUAUGUAGCCGGCACCAUCUUAGGGGCGCGACCCGGACACACUGCAAUUGAAAGGUACACGGCUUUACAAAACCAUAAGGCUACAGAACUUGGUGAUGUCUUCCUUAAAGAACUGACAAAUGAGGACACUGAGAAAGAUUCCAUGACUUGGUCAAGGCCACACAAAUAACAACAAAUAAAAAGGAAGAGUCAGGCUUCAAACCCAGGCAUGCUGACUCCAGUUCUGUGCUGGAAACUACUCCUCUAAAGGCAGGUGCUCCCUCUCCUCAUGAGAGCGGCUCCGGAUGCCACAUAAAUAGAAACCUGGCAAACCUGGCCGACCAGUUCACCGCACCUUCCAGGUUAGUCUGCAACCGCAGCCUUACUGCAUGGACAUCACACGCUUGAACUGGCUUCCGCCACAAGCAAUUGGCUACAUUUGUUCAGCAAUCCUUAUCGUUUUGUUCCUGCGCUGAUGAAAUUGCUCAGAUGGUUACAACACAACCAGUAUUACUGUCAUCACAAGAAAAUAUGAAAGGAGGAAGAUAAACAUGAAUAAGAGUGGUCACCAAUGCCAAUAUUCUUCCAGCAAAAUAAAGAAUGAAAUUUCAAAUAUCAUACACUUUGCCCCUGCUGAUUCUGUUUUUUCCUCUGGAACUACUCAGACCAGUGCCAGUGCCAAGGAAAUGACUCUUUCUGAUUAGAAAAUAAAUGGAAAUUGAAGAUCUGUCACAAUGUAUCCAGUAGAAUUGCACAAAGCAAAAUAAUUCUUCAACUCUGUGUUGAAAGGAUGAGCUCCCUCUGUGAUCAUCACUUCCUGGGAUUGAAGAGUUCAUGGUUGUGUGGUUUGAAAUUAAACUGAGUUCAAAAGUGUGAAUUUUUUUUCUAUUUAUCUGUUGAGGGAAGAAAACUGAAAGGACCAUACCAGUAAGAAAAUUUGUAUGACUAUGCAGCAUAAGUCACCAUUAGUAGAUUAAGUAACUUCUCAUAUCAUUAUAUUACGUAGAAGCCCAUAAAAUUAAAACAGGGACAUUAUUGUGAUUUUAGUCUACAUAUUUGGUCUUUAGUAUUCUGUUAUAUCAUUAUUAUAUUCAUGUUGCUGAGUAUAUAUGAAAAUUUCCUAAAUGUAUUAUUGGAGGCUAUGACAUAUAGCAAUCAUUGCUAGUUUAUAUAGAAUAUUAAAUAAAAAUAACAGGAAACAGGGAAACAUUUUUAUGGUAAAUUAAGUGGCAGAUGUAAAGAAGAACAUCUUUGUGGCUACUUCCAAAAGUUUAAUACUGAGACAGAAAAACGUGGUGUUAUUCAUCAAAAACAUAGCAUGUUUAUGGAUAAGAGGGAGCAUACAUGUAUCUCCUCCAACUUUCUGCAAUGGUAAAUAGAGGCGAGUAAGAAAUAAUAAAAUAAUAACAGCAUGGGUUUCAGAUAGUAAAAUAUGUUUUUA